Molecule: long non-coding RNA, 114 nt
Organism: Herpailurus yagouaroundi (jaguarundi)
Lineage: Eukaryota; Metazoa; Chordata; Mammalia; Carnivora; Felidae
Exons: 3
Source: RefSeq, a predicted model, not a curated record
UAUGUUAAGUAAAAGAAACCAGUCACAAAAGACAAAUGCUCUUUGAAUCCACUUAUAUGAGGUGCUUAGAAUAGUCAAAAUCAGAAAGACAGAAUGUAGAAUUGUGGUCGCCAG